Molecule: ribosomal RNA, 494 nt
Filed under: uncultured bacterium
Lineage: Bacteria
Description: partial 16S ribosomal RNA
Rfam family: Bacterial small subunit ribosomal RNA
Source: RNAcentral
GACGAACGCUGGCGGCGUGCUUAACACAUGCAAGUCGAACGGUGAAGCGCCUUCCUUUUUGGUGGGUGUGGAUGAGUGGCGAACGGGUGAGUAACACGUGAGUAACCUGCCCCCUUCUUCUGGAUAACCGCAUGAAAGUGUGGCUAAUACGGGAUAUUCUGGUUCUGUCUCAUGAUGGGUCUGGGAAAGAUGUUGUUUCGGUGGGGGAUGGGCUCGCGGCCUAUCAGCUUGUUGGUGGGGUGAUGGCCUACCAAGGCGGGGACGGGUAGCCGGCCUGAGAGGGUGGCCGGUCAGAGUGGGACGGAGACACGGCCGAGACUCAGAGGGGACGCGGAAGUGUGGAAUAUUGAACAAUGGGGGAAAGCCUGAUGCAGCGGCGCGGCUGGAGGGAUGGAGGCUUGUGGGUGGUGAAGCUCUUCCGCUAGUGAAGCGGGUCUGCCUGGGAUGUGGGUGGGUUGACGGUAGCGGGAAAAGAAGCGCCGGCUAACUACGUG